UUAAACCUCAAGAAUCCACCAAAACAUUAACUAUGCCUUCUUCUUCUGUUACACUCCUCUCCCAAUGCACAAUCUACCCAGAUAAAAAAUCCACCAUUAAAUCUCUCAAACUCUCCGUCUCUGAUCUCCCCAUGCUUUCCUGUCACUACAUCCAAAAGGGUGUUCUCCUCACUCAACCCCCUUACUCCAUUGAUGAUUUCAUCGACUCACUCAAGCACUCCCUCUCCGUUGCUCUCUCCCACUUCCCUCCCCUCGCCGGUCGUUUCUCCACCGGCCAUGACGGCCAUGUUCGUAUUCUCUGCAACGAUGCCGGAGUCCAAUUUGUCACUGCCACCGCUCCCCACAUCACCCUCCACUCCAUUCUCUCCCAUACCGAUGUACCUCCCUGUGUCAAGGAUUUCUUCACCUUCGACUGGCUCAUUAGCUACUCCGGCCACUCCAAACCCCUCGCCGCCGUCCAAAUCACUGAGCUUACCGACGGAGUCUUCGUCGGAUGCACCGUCAACCACGCGGUCACCGACGGAACUUCUUUCUGGCAAUUCUUCAACACCCUCGCUGCAAUCUGUAAAGGCUCCCAGAAGCUUCCCAAGGCCCCUGACUUCUCACGCGACACCGUUUUUGACUCCCCCGCCGUCCUGAAGUUCCCUACUGGUGGACCCACUGUAACUUUCAAUGCAGCCGAGCCUUUGCGUGAGAGGAUUUUCCAUUUCAGCAAGGAAGCCAUUGGAAAGCUUAAAUACAGAGCUAACAGGGGUGAGUUAAUUAGUCAGGAAAUACUAGGAAAGCAAGGCAACGACAGUUGGAAAACCGUUAAUGGCGACACUAACGGAAAGAUAACGUCCGUUACGGGUAAUGGCAAUGUUCUCAAUCGGACGGACGAGAUUUCGUCUUUCCAGUCACUCAGCGCACAGUUGUGGCGGUCCGUAACGCGCGCAAGGAAGCUCGAUCAGACCAAAACGACGACGUUCAGGAUGGCCAUAAACUGCCGGCACCGGCUGGAGCCACGGCUGGACCCGUACUAUUUCGGUAACGCGAUACAGAGCAUUCCGACUUAUGCUUCGGCCGGCGAGCUGUUAUCUCGGGAUCUGGGAUGGGGAGCCGAUCUGCUGCAUAAGAACGUGGUGGCCCACGAUGACAAAACGGUGCGUAGAGGGGUUGAGAAUUGGGAGAAACAGCCUAGGUUGUUUCCGCUUGGG
Molecule: long non-coding RNA, 1196 nt
Filed under: Carica papaya (papaya)
Lineage: Eukaryota; Viridiplantae; Streptophyta; Magnoliopsida; Brassicales; Caricaceae
Description: long non-coding RNA (CPAP_LNC005141)
Source: RNAcentral